RNAcentral lists this ribosomal RNA (253 nucleotides) under uncultured bacterium. RNAcentral's name for it is "partial 16S ribosomal RNA". It matches the Rfam family "Bacterial small subunit ribosomal RNA", at positions 524 to 776 of the family's 1533-position model. The record is from RNAcentral.
UACGGAGGGUGCGAGCGUUGUCCGGAAUCACUGGGCGUAAAGGGCGCGUAGGCGGCAUGCCAAGCGUGUGGUGAAAGCCCGGGGCUCAACCCCGGAACGGCAUCCGAUACGGGCUGGCUUGAGACCGAGAGAGGUGAGUGGAAUACCCAGUGUAGGGGUGAAAUUCGUAGAUAUUGGGUGGAACACCGGUGGCGAAAGCGGCUCACUGGCUCGGUUCUGACGCUGAGGCGCGAAAGCGUGGGGAGCAAACAGG